This 259-nucleotide ribosomal RNA is filed under the name uncultured bacterium. Its description in RNAcentral is "partial 16S ribosomal RNA". It matches the Rfam family "Bacterial small subunit ribosomal RNA", at positions 524 to 776 of the family's 1533-position model. The record is from RNAcentral.
UACGAAGGGGGGCUAGCGUUGCUCGGAAUCACUGGGCGUAAAGGGUGCGUAGGCGGGUCUUUUUAAGUCAGGGGGUGAAAUCCCGGGGGCUCAACCCCGGAACUGCCUUUUGAUACUGGGUAUCUCGAGUCCGGAAGAGGUGAGUGGAAUUCCGAGUGUAGAGGUGAAAUUCGUAGAUAUUCGGAGGAACACCAGUGGCGAAGGCGGCUCACUGGUCCGGUACUGACGCUGAGGAGCGAAAGCGUGGGGAGCGAACAGG